GUUAGUUAUGAAUUAAGAAGAGAAAUUGAUCAAAUCGGAAAAUAAAAUGAAGUUACAUCACUUCCGUUAUGAAGUUGCAACGCUCCGACGAAAGGUGGCGUACGAGCAGAGCGGAGUGAAGUCGGGAGUCACUACAGAGUCGUCGUGUCGAGCGGACGUGUACUGCCGUUCUAGUCGGGCAGUCUACCGCGAACCAUCGUCAUGAGCAGACGUGUCGAAUAAUUACGAGGAGUGCUAUAGUCGCUCACCUAUAACUUGUAGGGACGUCAAGAAAGUGUGAUCGGAAAAGAGUACCUAGCAAGUACGUUCACAUGUCCCGAUGAUUCGGUCCGAAUAUAGGAACCAUGGGUGGUGGAGGGCAAGUAGAGGGCGAGUAGCCCCUUCGCGCUAACGUCCUUAUGCGCGCUAGAUAACGAGAGACUGUGUAACCGUUACGAAUACCGUGACGUUGCCGUGAGUGUGUACCUUAUGCUGUGAGUUUAUUUAAUCGUGAUACAAAAACUAUGUGGAAGUAAAUAAAAUGAUUGUGAUACUGAUGACGGCCAUUAUUGUCUUCUAACGCCCACCCUCCAUUCUGAUGAUGAUGUUACGACCGACCGACCCCACUGAUACGACAUCAGAAGUGGGAUUAGUGGACUUGGAUGAAGACAACGUGAUGCGACGUUCACAACAAGACAAUGCAAGUUUCGAUUAUCACAAUCAGAAGAAGAUUAUGAUGAUUAUCACAUUCGUGUGACCACGUGAUGAAGAUGUAGUGUCAUGCCUGAAUUUGGAGAUGGACCUGAAUUUUAAGUGACCUGGACCUUGUUAAUGAUCGACAUCACUACAUGCCGUAAGAUAUGAUGGCGUGAACAUCACAAUAUGUCCAUACUGUGUGCAGUCGUGUUUGAAAAUUAUGGAACCUGAAAUUGAAAACUGUUAUUACGGUGAGUCGUUUUCAUACUGGAACCUUAUUGUUGUUGACUUUAUUGCUAUGUGAAUUUCCGUUUCUAAUAAUGAGGAAAUUGUUUUUUAAAAAAAACAAAAUUGACGAGACACAUUGUGUCAAUCCGUGUCAAUCAUACCGCGUUUUCCAAUCUGUUUUCAUCAUUGUCAAAUCUUUGUAUUUUGGUUUAAAAAUAUUUCGAAUUGGUGUAGACACGCUUAACCUGCGUGGUUAAAGUUGUAUUUUCUCACUCCAAGCGGGUGGAGGUUAGUCAUGAUAUGAUGUCUUGUUAAAUAACGUGUUUUGUAAUCUACCGUCAUUCAUCAAAUGUUUCAAUAUUCAACAUUCUUUAUUGUAAUCUUUUUAAACUGAUUGAAAGAAAGUCAUGUGAAUACGAUAAUACAGUGAAUUCUUUUGUUUCAUGUCAUAAUUUGUCACGUGGUUCGGCAACUGGUGGAUUGCAAGCGGCGAUGCAAGUGGCGCGGGCUGAGCUGCAGCCGUGUAAAGUGAUGACAUCACGGCAGCGCAUUGUAUAACAACGGGACUUGUGGAAGACCUAAACCAUGUCACAAGACCAGUGGUUGAUCUUUUAUUGGAAAUUCUUAUAAGUCCUGGUGAGUCGUAUCUGUUUUACCUGAUUUGAAAGAUGGAAAGUUUUAAUAGGAUACAAACGAAUAUAGUGCAGAAAGUUGUCUUUUGUUAACUUUAGUUAAAUUGGAAAUCGUAAUGAAGUGAAGUAAACAUUGCGAAGUAAAAUGAUUUGGAUUAUGAUUAAAUGAAAUAGGCUAGGAAAAUGCCCGAAACAGAGUAAAUCAUUAGUGAGAAAAUUGGAGCAAAACAUUCUAAAUGAUGAUCAUACCGAAUCAGUAAUUGUGUAAGUGCGGUAAUAUUUCCUCGAGGUGUUGGUCGCUACAUUGUGACUUUAUGACUUGUGUGUGUGAGAGCAGGGUGCUCUGUCGUUUUGUGGUCGUGGACCAUGGUGGCCAUCCCGGGAGGGGAUGUUGUGACUCAUGACUGUUUUGUAGCGUAACCGCAGUUUGGGGAGGAAUAUUACAGCCUGUUGUGCUUUGCAGUAGAUGUGUAAUGUUGGUUGAUUUAAUUGAGCAAUGAAAGCUAUGAUUGACCUGUUUCGGAGCAACUCUGAUAGGAAGCUGCGCACUUGUAGUGUUCGGGGCUGCAGCCACUUUUGUGCUGCUCGUCUUAGAAACUACAGGUAUGCGGUCGAGGCCUGGAUGUCAUGUUGACUUUGUAUUUGGUCAUGACAUUGUACCUGAAUCUAAGUCAAGUUGACUUCCGGUAGAAUUAGUCAAACUACACGAAUUAGAAAUUAGUGAUGUAGAAGAAAUUUGUAACCCAUGGACCACUAUUCUACCAACUAAAAUGUAAAGUUUGUGUGCUAGCUGUGUUGAGAUAUCGUCACUUGGUGCAAGUGGCAUGAGUUGCUGUCGCUCGAUUUAGGUGGCAGCAACGAUUGUGUUGAGAUAUCGUCACUUGGUGUAAGUGGCAUGAGUUGCUACCGCUCGAUUUAGGUGGUAGUGACGCCUGGUUGUGAGAUAUCGUCACUCAGUAGAGUGGCAUGAGUUGCUACCGCUCGAUUUAGGUGGUAGUGACGCCUGGUUUUGAGAUAUCGUCGCUCAGUAGAGUGGCAUGAGUUACUAUCGCUCGUUUAGGUGAUAGUAACGACAGACGUGUAAAGAGUAAUUGGAUUUUCAAGUUUGGUUGUUUAUAGUGUGUGAAUACUGGUCAAUGGUCCGUUUACCGUGUCGGAGUAGUUGAUUUAUCAUGAUGUAAUGUGAACUCGUGUAGAGUCACGAGUAGAGCUCAUGUAGAGUCACGAGUAGAGCUCAUGUAGAGUCACGAGUAGAGCUCGUGUAGAGUCACGAGUAGAGCUCAUGUAGAGUCACGAGUAGAGCUCAUGUAGAGUCACGAGUAGAGCUCAUGUAGAGUCACAAGUAGAGCUCAUGUAGAGUCACAAGUAGAGCUCAUGUAGAGUCUCAUGUUAGGUCAGGAAUGACCGAGCGAACUUGGAUACUGUGCUGUGGUAUGUUGUUUCAGAUUCACACACGAGGACGUGUGUCGCGCAGGAUGGCCGUGUCGGAGUUAGUUAUGAAUAAAGAAGAGAAAUUGAUCAAAUUAGACACUAUAAUGAAGUUGCAACACUUCCAUCAUGAAGUUGCAACGCUCCGACGUCAGGUGGCGUACGAGCAGAGCGGAGUGAAGUCGGGAGUCACUACAGAGUCGUCGUGUCGAGCGGACGUGUACUGCCGUUCUAGUCGGGCAGUCUACCGCGAACCAUCGUCAUGAGCAGACGUGUCGAAUAAUUACGAGGAGUGCUAUAGUCGCUCACCUAUAACUUGUAGGGACGUCAAGAAAGUGUGAUCGGAAAAGAGUACCUAGCAAGUACGUUCACAUGUCCCGAUGAUUCGGUCCGAAUAUAGGAACCAUGGGUGGUGGAGGGCAAGUAGAGGGCGAGUAGCCCCUUCGCGCUAACGUCCUUAUGCGCGCUAGAUAACGAGAGACUGUGUAACCGUUACGAAUACCGUGACGUUGCCGUGAGUGUGUACCUUAUGCUGUGAGUUUAUUUAAUCGUGAUACAAAAACUAUGUGGAAGUAAAUAAAAUGAUUGUGAUACU
Molecule: long non-coding RNA, 3558 nt
Organism: Pectinophora gossypiella (pink bollworm)
Lineage: Eukaryota; Metazoa; Arthropoda; Insecta; Lepidoptera; Gelechiidae
Exons: 3
Source: RefSeq, a predicted model, not a curated record